UCCCGUUGUAAACGGAGCGCCAGACUAC
RNAcentral lists this non-coding RNA (28 nucleotides) under Bombyx mori (domestic silkworm). The record is from RNAcentral. Lineage: Eukaryota; Metazoa; Arthropoda; Insecta; Lepidoptera; Bombycidae.